This 583-nucleotide ribosomal RNA is filed under the name Venanus sp. JCB-2006. RNAcentral's name for it is "eukaryotic LSU rRNA". It matches the Rfam family "Eukaryotic large subunit ribosomal RNA", at positions 432 to 791 of the family's 3401-position model. Lineage: Eukaryota; Metazoa; Arthropoda; Insecta; Hymenoptera; Braconidae. The record is from RNAcentral.
CAUCGUCAGCGUAUUUAGUAUUAAUAUGAGCUAUGAUGUGAUAAUAGAAUCCUCGUGGUCACUAGAUUAUACUUGCUUGUAUUAUUUUUGCUGAGUAUCGUCGGCGUGCACUUCUCCUCUAGUAGAACGUCGCAACCCGUUGGAUGUUUAUCUAUGGCUCAAUUGAUAGUCUUUAAUACUUUAUUGUAUUAGAGAUCAGUGAAGUCCUGAUAAGCUGUCUGACGGUAUACAUAUGAUAUUAAGCCGCAAUUAUUUGCGUUAAACUUACCGCAAGCAAGGUCUUAUUUUGGUAGUGCGGACUUUGUGCUGUCGCUAAAAGAGGCCUACUGUUAGCUGUGUAAUGUUUUUUAACUGGCUUAUUUAUCGGUUAGCGAUGCUACUGCUUUGGGUACUUACAGGACCCGUCUUGAAACACGGACCAAGGAGUCUAACAUGUACGCGAGUCAUUGGGAUAUAUUUAUAUAAACCAAACCUAAAGGCGUAAUGAAAGUAUAGAUUGUUUUUAAACAAUUGAGGGAAGAUGAGUUACGUUACGAUGUAAUUCCGCAUUCCCAGGACGUUCUAUUCUCAUUGAGAAGGGGCG